Molecule: long non-coding RNA, 1910 nt
Filed under: Salmo salar (Atlantic salmon)
Lineage: Eukaryota; Metazoa; Chordata; Actinopteri; Salmoniformes; Salmonidae
Description: lncRNA (ENSSSAG00000097723.1)
Rfam family: UnaL2 LINE 3' element (bases 681-734)
Source: RNAcentral
GUCUCCAGCCACUGAGGAGAGGGGGGGGGGUCCUACUACAGAAAGGUGUCAUUAGGCCCAUAAGACCUCACUCUGGAGGAGAGCACAGAGUCGAGCGGAGGAGAUAAUCUCUUCACUGAACGGAUACGGAGGGAGAGAAACUGGACUGGCGUCAGGCCUGUACGACUGCCUAACCCACCCCGGGAUAACCACAGGUUAAAACCACGUGAACCAUCUGAAGAAGACCAAGACUGUUCCUGAUGAGAACCACUUUUAUACAUAAUAAGAUACUUAACCAGCAUUCACUGCAAAUAUGAAAAGGGUUUGGGGUUAGUCCUCAGCAGUUCGAGUAGCACCAAGGGGUCUGAGGACUAGUAAUGGAAAGUUGAUCAGACUAGCUGAGAUGACCAGUGGACACUACUCUAGCCAAGCCAUUCACCACGGCAACCAGAUAAUUCCAGGAAGGAAUGGAGAGAGGGGAUUGACCAAUGGAAGUUGAGAGAAUGUCAGUGUGUUCUAAAGCAACGUGUAGAGAACUCAUCUUCUGACGAGUCAUUGGGAUGUCCGGGCUGAGCGAGAGAGAGCGAGAACACUACUACCUAGUAUGUAUAUGUGAUGGAGACAGAUUGGCCAUGAGGGAGCAUGCAGGUGUAGCAGGGUUGGCAGAACUUGGCACAUAAAUUAUAUGAUCUCAUAAGGUGAAUGCACCAAUUUGUAAGUCGCUCUGGAUAAGAGCGUCUGCUAAAUGACGUAAAUGUAAAAUGGUCAAUGUAAAGAGAUACGUGUAAAACAUUAAUACAGGACAGUCAAGGACAUGGGUGGUGAAGCUAGAUUGCAGUUCAAUGAAAUACCUAUGACAAUGAAUGAGAAAUCAUGAAAAGAAUAGGUUUGUAUUGAGACAAACUUUUAGGAACAGGCAAACAGGAGACAAUGUAAGACAUAGGAAGAUGAAAGAGCACUUACUAUUUGCCUCUACAGGGUCAAAUUGACUGGCCCCCUAGCAGGCCAACCAAACAGCCUUCUCCUCUCUGAUACAGAUUACUCUCACUCAUAAUAGUAGCAGAUGUUGUGGCAUCUAGAAAGACUAGACACUACAGUGAGGUUACACCACCAGACUACAGUGAGGUUACACUACCAGACUACAGUGAGGUUACGCUACAGUGAGGUUACACUGCCAGACUACAGUGAGGUUACACUGCCAGACUACAGUGAGGUUACACUACAGCGAGGUUACACUACAAUGAGGUUACACUACCAGAAUACAGUGAGUUACACUACAGUGAGGUUACAGUGAGUUUACACUACAAUGAGGUUACACUGCCAGACUACAGUGAGGUUACACUGCCAGACUACAGUGAGGUUACACUGCCAGACUACAGUGAGGUUACACCACUAGACUACAGUGAGGUUACAUUUAAGUGAGAUACAGUACUAGAUUAGAGUGAGGUUACACUACCAGACUACAGUGAGAUUACACUACAGUGGGGUUACAGUACUAGACUACAGUGAGAUUACACUACAGUGGGGUUACAGUACUAGACUACAGUGAGGUUACACUACAGUACACCAGACUACAGUGAGGUUACACCACCAGACUACACUGAGGUUACACCACUAGACUACAGUGAGCUGUAGAACGGACAGACAGAGUUUUAGAACAGAGGGAGAGCUGUAGAACAGAGGGCACAGAGAGAGAGAGAGCUUUUGAACAGAGGGAGCGACUUGUAAUGUUCAGCCUGUUAUUAAAAUACAACCAGCUGAGAUGUGCAUAUGAAUGAUCCUAUUUAUGAGAUGUACUAUAUAUUUAUUUUAUUACAUAUAUAAAGUAUAAAUCUAUUUAUUUAUUGCAAAGACUAUUUUGUAAUGAACUUGACGUUAUCACAACUGUAGAUUCUACUGAAAACUGUUAUUAAAUGAAUUUGGCAAUAAAA